AGCGAACGCUGGCGGCAGGCCUAACACAUGCAAGUCGAACGGGAGCACAGUGUGAGUUUGCUGUUAUGGGUGGAGGGUGGCGGAAGGGUGAGGAAUAUAUCGGAAUCUUCUCUUUGGUGGGGGAUAACGUAGGGAAGUUUACGAUAAUACAGCAUAUGACGUACGGGUGAAAGCAGGGGAUAUUCGGGGCUUGCGCGAUUGAAUGAGCCGAGGUCGGAUUAGCUAGUUGGCGGGGUAAAGGCCAACGAUGGCGACGAUCGGUAGCUGGUCUGAGAGCAUGAUCAGCCACACUGGAGCUGAGACACGGCCCAGACUCCUACGAGAAGCAGCAGUCGAGAAUAUUAGGCAAUGGGCGCGAGCCUGAUCCAGCCAGACCGCGUGGGUGAAGAAGGCCUUCUGGUUGUAAAGCCCUUUUGUUGGUAAAGAACAGCAGCUGGUUAAGACCCCGCGGUUCUGACGGUACCCAAAGAAUAAGCACCGGCUAACUACGUG
Molecule: ribosomal RNA, 492 nt
Filed under: uncultured bacterium
Lineage: Bacteria
Description: partial 16S ribosomal RNA
Rfam family: Bacterial small subunit ribosomal RNA
Source: RNAcentral